RNAcentral lists this ribosomal RNA (468 nucleotides) under uncultured bacterium. RNAcentral's name for it is "bacterial SSU rRNA". It matches the Rfam family "Bacterial small subunit ribosomal RNA", at positions 329 to 793 of the family's 1533-position model. The record is from RNAcentral.
UUCCAGACUCCUACGGGAGGCAGCAGUGAGGAAUAUUGGUCAAUGGGCGGAAGCCUGAACCAGCCAAGUCGCGUGAGGGAAUAAGGCCCUACGGGUCGUAAACCUCUUUUGCCGGGGAGCAAGGGCGGGGACGUGUCCCGGCCCGGAGAGUACCCGGAGAAAAAGCAUCGGCUAACUCCGUGCCAGCAGCCGCGGUAAUACGGAGGAUGCGAGCGUUAUCCGGAUUUAUUGGGGUUAAAGGGUGCGUAGGGGGGGCUGUAAAGCCGGGGGGAAAGGCCGGGGGCCAAACCCGGGCGAGCCGUUGAAACUGGCUGUCUUGGGAUGUCGAGAGGUAUGCGGAAUGCGCAGUGUAGCGGUGAAAUGCUUAGAUAUUGCGCAGAACUCCGAUUGCGAAGGCAGCAUACCGGCGGCGAUCUGACGCUGAGGCACGAAAGCGUGGGUAUCGAACAGGAUUAGAUACCCUAGUAC